GGCUCUUUGAAAUAAAUACAUAAAGAGUCGAACCUGCCCAGUGAUUUAUUUAAACGGCCGCGGUACUCUGACCGUGCAAAGGUAGCAUAAUCAUUUGCCCUAUAAUUGAGGGCUUGUAUGAACGGUUUGACAAGAGCAUAACUGUCUCUUAAAAAUUUUAUAGAAUUUGGUUUUUAGGUGAAGAAACCUAAAUAUAAUUGAAAGACAAGAAGACCCUAUCGAGCUUUAGAGUAAUUAAUUAAAAAGUAUGAUUAAAAUAAUUAAUUUUAGUUAAAAACUUUGGUUGGGGCGACUGAGGAACAUAUAAAGCUUCUUUUAUUAAAAUAUGCCUAUAAGCUAUGAUCCAAAAAAUUUGAUUAAAAAAAUUAGUUACCGUAGGGAUAACAGCAUAAUCUUUUUCAAGAGUUCUUAUCGAAAAAAAGGUUUGUGACCUCGAUGUUGGACUAGGAUAUCUUAAAGAUGCAGAAGUCUUUAAAAGUUGGUCUGUUCGACCAUUAAAAUCCU
This 504-nucleotide ribosomal RNA is filed under the name Neotricula aperta. RNAcentral describes it as "partial 16S large subunit ribosomal RNA". It matches the Rfam family "Bacterial large subunit ribosomal RNA", at positions 1816 to 2597 of the family's 2925-position model. The record is from RNAcentral. Lineage: Eukaryota; Metazoa; Mollusca; Gastropoda; Littorinimorpha; Pomatiopsidae.